RNAcentral lists this ribosomal RNA (800 nucleotides) under uncultured bacterium. RNAcentral describes it as "bacterial SSU rRNA". It matches the Rfam family "Bacterial small subunit ribosomal RNA", at positions 8 to 818 of the family's 1533-position model. The record is from RNAcentral.
AGAGUUUGAUCAUGGCUCAGGACGAACGCUGGCGGUAUGCUUAAGACAUGCAAGUCGAACGAACGAUGUUUUAGCUUGCUAAAACAAAGUUAGUGGCGGACGGGUGAGUAACGCGUGAGCAACCUGCCUCUUUCAUCGGGAUACCAAUUGGAAACGAUUGCUAAUACCGAAUAUGACCACAGCACGGCAUCGUGCAGGGGUGAAAGGGUUUACUGGAAAGAGAUGGGCUCGCGUCUGAUUAGCUAGUUGGUGGGGUAACGGCCUACCAAGGCGACGAUCAGUAGCCGAACUGAGAGGUUGAUCGGCCACAUUGGGACUGAGAACGGCCCAGACUCCUACGGGAGGCAGCAGUCGGGAAUAUUGGGCAAUGGAGGAAACUCUGACCCAGCAAUACCGCGUGAAGGACGAAGGUCUUCGGAUUGUAAACUUCUGUUAUAAAGGAAGAAAAAAAUGACGGUACUUUAUAAGUAAGCCCCGGCAAACUACGUGCCAGCAGCCGCGGUGAUACGUAGGGGGCAAGCGUUGUCCGGAAUGACUGGGUGUAAAGGGUGUGUAGGUGGCUUAUUAAGUUGAAAGUGAAAGCCCGGGGCUUAACCCCGGAACUGCUUUCAAUACUGGUUGGCUUGAGUGUGGGAGAGGUUAGUGGAACUCCUAGUGUAGCGGUGGAAUGCGUAGAUAUUAGGAAGAACAUCAGAGGCGAAGGCGACUAACUGGAACAUUACUGACACUGAAACACGAAAGCGUGGGGAGCAAACAGGAUUAGAUACCCUGGUAGUCCACGCUGUAAACGAUGAGUACUA